Molecule: ribosomal RNA, 497 nt
Filed under: uncultured bacterium
Lineage: Bacteria
Description: partial 16S ribosomal RNA
Rfam family: Bacterial small subunit ribosomal RNA
Source: RNAcentral
GACGAACGCUGGCGGCGUGCCUAAUACAUGCAAGUUGAGCGCUGAAGGUUGGUACUUGUGCCAACUGGAUGAGCAGCGAACGGGUGAGUAAUGCGUGGGGAAUCUGCCUUUGAGCGGGGGACAACAUUUGGAAACGAAUGCUAAUACCGCAUAAAAACUUUAAACACAAGUUUUAAGUUUGAAAGAUGCAAUUGCAUCACUCAAAGAUGAUCCCGCGUUGUAUUAGCUAGUUGGUGAGGUAAAGGCUCACCAAGGCGAUGAUACAUAGCCGACCUGAGAGGGUGAUCGGCCACAUUGGGACUGAGACACGGCCCAAACUCCUACGGGAGGCAGCAGUAGGGAAUCUUCGGCAAUGGACGAAAGUCUGACCGAGCAACGCCGCGUGAGUGAAGAAGGUUUUCGGAUCGUAAAACUCUGUUGGUAGAGAAGAACGUUGGUGAGAGUGGAAAGCUCAUCAAGUGACGGUAACUACCCAGAAAGGGACGGCUAACUACGUG